RNAcentral lists this ribosomal RNA (447 nucleotides) under uncultured bacterium. RNAcentral's name for it is "bacterial SSU rRNA". It matches the Rfam family "Bacterial small subunit ribosomal RNA", at positions 328 to 792 of the family's 1533-position model. The record is from RNAcentral.
AAGCCAGACUCCUACGGGAGGCAGCAGUGGGGGAUAUUGCACAAUGGGGGAAACCCUGAUGCAGCGACGCCGCGUGGGUGAAGAAGCGCCUCGGCGCGUAAAGCCCUGUCAGCAGGGAAGAAAAUGACGGUACCUGAAGAAGAAGCCCCGGCUAACUACGUGCCAGCAGCCGCGGUAAUACGUAGGGGGCAAGCGUUAUCCGGAUUUACUGGGUGUAAAGGGGGCGCAGACGGCGAUGCAAGCCAGGAGUGGAAGCCCGGGGCCCAACCCCGGGACUGCUCUUGGAACUGCGUGGCUGGAGUGCAGGAGGGGCAGGCGGAAUUCCUGGUGUAGCGGUGAAAUGCGUAGAUAUCAGGAGGAACACCGGUGGCGAAGGCGGCCUGCUGGUCUGCAACUGACGUUGAGGCCCGAAAGCGUGGGGAGCAAACAGGAUUAGAUACCCCAGUA